Molecule: microRNA precursor, 52 nt
Filed under: Camelus bactrianus (Bactrian camel)
Lineage: Eukaryota; Metazoa; Chordata; Mammalia; Artiodactyla; Camelidae
Also listed under: 2 other names
Description: mir-1302 microRNA precursor family
Rfam family: mir-1302 microRNA precursor family
Source: Rfam by way of RNAcentral
UUUUCAGUAUAAGUAUGUUCCAUGCAAUAUUGGGGAUGUACUUACACUAAAA